UAUUCCAAUCCUCAACAUCUAAUCUACAACGCAGAAGACCGGCAAGUGCUUUCACUGCUAGAGGCAGGCCUUUGCAUCUUUUGACAAUUCCUUCACCGAUUGCCUUCAAAUUUGGACGCAAGCUUGGGCUUGUAUUAACAAAUGCAUGUUUUGCAAAUAACAACCAACAAUCCUCAUCAGACAACUCACUGAGAUGAUGAGUUGGAACAGUCCCCAUAGUGCGUGCAACCUCUUGAUUACGUGUUGUUCAAUAAUCUUGCUAUUUUUUGCCCCAAAAUUGGAAGGACUUCUCAACUCUUCCCAAUCAACAUAUUUCUCGUUUCAAACAUCGUCCAAAACAAAUAGAAACCUCUUUCCCAAUAGCUUCUCCUUCAAUUGAAGUUGAAGCUGAUUUAGGUUCUGACUAUCAUCACUGCUAGCAGUGAUUUCUUCAAGCAUGGUUUUGGUUACCCUUAAAGCAUCAAAUUCAUCUGAAACACACACCCAUGCUUUGACGUCAAACCAUUUCUCCACGCUCUCGUCAUUGUAGAUCCAUUGUGCAAGGGUGGUUUUACCAACCCUUCCCAUACCCACUAUUGAAAUCACAUCGAUCUGAUUUGCACUUGCAUAUUCUGGGUUCAGAAACUCCAUGAUCGCUUCUUUUUCAUCAUGUCUACCAUAAACACCCGAUUCAUCCACCAGAGAAGUUGCAAGUGGUCUUGGAAAUGACUUUUCUCCUCUACUUUCUUUCAAACCCAGGAUGUCUUUUUGGUUGACUAAACAUUCUAGUCUCUCAAGGAUUUCUUCUAGUUUUGAUCCCAUCCCCCAAUUGAAAGGAUUGAGAGAAGAGAUAAAGCUACAUACCUGCUUUGCAGUACUAGUUUGAUCCUCGGAUUCCAUCCUGCUUCGAAGAGCUUC
RNAcentral lists this long non-coding RNA (897 nucleotides) under Theobroma cacao (cacao). Its description in RNAcentral is "long non-coding RNA (TCAC_LNC005786)". Lineage: Eukaryota; Viridiplantae; Streptophyta; Magnoliopsida; Malvales; Malvaceae. The record is from RNAcentral.